CAGAUUCCUCUGUCGUCAGAGUCCAAGGAAGAAACGGCGUUCUCCACUCCGUAUGGGUUACACCAAUUUACCACGCUUCCCUUUGGCUUGUUUGAUGCCCCGGCCACCUUCCAACGUCUCAUGGAUUGGGUGCUGCGUCCGCACGCUGCACAUGCUGCCGCCUACUUGGAUGAUGUCAUUAUCCACAGCACCACCUGGGCGGGGCAUGUGCGGCGGGUGGGCGCAGUGCUGGAGUCACUGAGACAGGCUGGGCUCACCGCCAACCCGGGGAAGUGUGCAGUUGGACGGAUAGAGGCAGUUCCAUCCCCAGCUUUGCGGACCUCACCAG
This is a long non-coding RNA of Gasterosteus aculeatus aculeatus (three-spined stickleback), 328 nucleotides long. Lineage: Eukaryota; Metazoa; Chordata; Actinopteri; Perciformes; Gasterosteidae. The record is from Ensembl.